UGGACUUGCCGACGCCGCUCUCGCCGAUGAUGAGGACCUUCAGGGCGGGCAGCAGGUCCUCGUCCAUCCUGACGCUGCUCCGCUCCAGCCCAGCUGGCCGCCUGGUCCGCUCUCACCCCUUCACCCCGAGAACUGCCCGCGCAUGCGCACCGCUCCGCGUGCCACCACCUUUUCACACCGGGUGUCAGUGGUGAAGAGAAGAACAUGAAUGCUGCUUUCACUCACAUGCUAUGACAGGCACAAACAGGAGCAUUGUGACUCAUGGCUUGUGCAGGAUUGCUUAUGGCCAAGUGUAACAGCGAGAGAACAAAGACCGUAGUUAACUCUGGUUUUGGAAAGUUUCACAAUAAGCCCAAGUCCAAUGUCAAAUGGUGGAGAACUGAGAGAAAGAAAAGCAUUUUGGCCUCCACAUCUUGAAACCAGAAUUCCACUAAACAGAAAGGAAAGAUCUCCGAAAGCAUUUUGCAUCCUCUGUACCAACUACUUUUGCUGACACUGAAUUCUUGGAGGCUGAGGCACAGUACAAGAAAGAAAAAGGGAAAUGGUGCCAGAUUUCCACAUUCCCUGAGUAUAGAAGUUGUUUUUCCAUCCCCAAGCUACCACCACAGGACUUCCCAGGAGCUCACUCUUCUACUUGAAAAAGAUUUGUUGGCCAGUAGAUUUUGAGAUUUGUAAUGCAUGACCCACUAGUUUCUCACUAGAUCUAUUGAAUAAUAAAGAAUAAUCUACU
Long non-coding RNA from Talpa occidentalis (Iberian mole), 730 nucleotides. RefSeq lists it as uncharacterized. The record is from RefSeq and is a predicted model, not a curated record. NCBI's taxonomy places the organism in Eukaryota, Metazoa, Chordata, Mammalia, Eulipotyphla, Talpidae. The transcript is spliced from 3 exons.